GCGGAGGAAAAGAAACCAACAGGGAUUGCCUCAGUAGCGGCGAGUGAAGCGGCAAAAGCUCAAAUUUGAAAUCUGGCGUCUUUGGCGUCCGAGUUGUAAUUUGAAGAAGGUAUCUUUGGGCCCGGCUCUUGUCUAUGUUCCUUGGAACAGGACGUCACAGAGGGUGAGAAUCCCGUGCGAUGAGAUGACCCGGGUCUGUGUAAAGUUCCUUCGACGAGUCGAGUUGUUUGGGAAUGCAGCUCUAAGUGGGUGGUAAAUUCCAUCUAAAGCUAAAUAUUGGCGAGAGACCGAUAGCGAACAAGUACAGUGAUGGAAAGAUGAAAAGAACUUUGAAAAGAGAGUGAAAAAGUACGUGAAAUUGUUGAAAGGGAAGGGCUUGAGAUCAGACUUGGUAUUUUGCAUGUUGCUCUCUCGGGGGCGGCCGCUGCGGUUUACCGGGCCAGCAUCGGUUUGGAGCGGCAGGAUAAUGGCGGAGGAAUGUGGCACGGCUUCUGCUGUGUGUUAUAGCCUCUGACGAUGCUGCCAGCCUAGACCGAGGACUGCGGUUUUUUACCUAGGAUGUUGGCAUAAUGAUCUUAAGUCGCCCGUCUUGAA
RNAcentral lists this ribosomal RNA (594 nucleotides) under Candida albicans. RNAcentral describes it as "LSU rRNA". It matches the Rfam family "Eukaryotic large subunit ribosomal RNA", at positions 50 to 658 of the family's 3401-position model. The record is from RNAcentral. Lineage: Eukaryota; Fungi; Ascomycota; Pichiomycetes; Serinales; Debaryomycetaceae.